CCAAAAACACAAUGUUUUGGUCCUAAACUUGCCGCUAUUUUUUACUCAACUUAUACAUGCAAGCAUCUACAUACCAGUGAGAAUGCCCCACUCAUCUAAAAGACGAACGGAGCCGGUAUCAGGCACAAACAUCUUUGGCCAAUGACACCUUGCCCUGCCACACCCCCACGGGUUUACAGCAGUAAUUUAUAUUAAACAUAAGCGAAAGCUUGAUUUAGUUAUAGUAAUAUUAGGGUCGGUAAAUUUCGUGCCAGCCACCGCGGUUAUACGAAAGACCCAAAAUAACGGCCCCCGGCGUAAAGCGUGGCUAGAACAUAUUUAACUUAAGGACGAACACCUUCUCCGCUGUGAAACGCUUAAGAAGUUAAGAAUACCACCCCCUUAAAAUCAUUUAACACCACGAAAGCUAGGACACAAACUGGGAUUAGAUACCCCACUAUGCCUAGCCUUAAACCUAGAUAGAAAAAUACCACCUAUCCGCCAGAGAACUACAAGCAAAAUACUUAAAACUCAAAGGACUUGGCGGCAUUCCAUAUCAACCUAGAGGAGCCCGUCCAAUAAUCGAUAAUACACGCUCAACCCCACCACUUUUGGCCACUCCAGCCUAUAUACCGCCGUCGUCAGCUAACCUUGUGAAAGAAAAGUAGUAAGCACAAUAGCCCUCGCUAGAACGUCAGGUCAAGGUGUAGCUAAUAAAGUGGAUGUGAUAGGCUACAUUUUCUACUAUAGAAAACACGGAAAAUACAAUGAAACUUUGUAAUUAAAGGUGAAUUUAGAAGUAAAAUAAGAAAGUGCCCUUAUUUUAAUACCGCCCUGGAAUGCGCACACACCGCCCGUCACCCUCCUCGAAAUAAACCAGAUGAGGUAAG
This 869-nucleotide non-coding RNA is filed under the name Pseudocordylus microlepidotus. Its description in RNAcentral is "partial 12S ribosomal RNA". It matches the Rfam family "Bacterial small subunit ribosomal RNA". The record is from RNAcentral. Lineage: Eukaryota; Metazoa; Chordata; Lepidosauria; Squamata; Cordylidae.